CGCGAUGAUGCUUUGCCAAAACC
This 23-nucleotide microRNA is filed under the name Eisenia fetida (common brandling worm). RNAcentral's name for it is "Efe-Mir-2691-P4_5p* (star (passenger))". The record is from RNAcentral. Lineage: Eukaryota; Metazoa; Annelida; Clitellata; Crassiclitellata; Lumbricidae.